CCAAUAGCGUAUAUUAAAGUUGUUGCAGUUAAAAAGCUCGUAGUUGAAUUUCAGGCCUGGCUGGACGGUCCGCCCUUCGGGUGAGUACUGUCUGUGGUCGGGUCCUACCUUCUGGCGAAGCGCCAUGGCCUUAACCGGCCGUGGCGGGGAACCAGGACUUUUACUGUGAAACAAUUAGAGUGUUCAAAGCAGGCAAUCGCUUGGAUACAUUAGCAUGGAAUAAUGGAAUAGGACAAUGGUUCUAUUUGUUGGUUUCUAGGACCGUUGUAAUGAUUAAUAGGGAUAGUUGGGGGAAUUAGUAUUCAAUUGUCAGAGGUGAAAUUCUUGGAUUUAUUGAAGACUAACUACUGCGAAAGCAUUUGCCAAGGAUGUUUUCAUUAAUCAAGAACGAAAGUUAGGGGAUCGAAGACGAUCAGAUACCGUCGUAGUCUUAACCAUAAACUAUGCCGACUAGGAAUCGGGCGAUGUUGAAAAAAUGACGCGCUCGGCACCUCAUG
RNAcentral lists this ribosomal RNA (497 nucleotides) under uncultured Glomeromycotina. RNAcentral describes it as "partial small subunit ribosomal RNA". It matches the Rfam family "Eukaryotic small subunit ribosomal RNA", at positions 591 to 1092 of the family's 1831-position model. The record is from RNAcentral. Lineage: Eukaryota; Fungi; Glomeromycota.